RNAcentral lists this ribosomal RNA (253 nucleotides) under uncultured bacterium. RNAcentral's name for it is "partial 16S ribosomal RNA". It matches the Rfam family "Bacterial small subunit ribosomal RNA", at positions 524 to 776 of the family's 1533-position model. The record is from RNAcentral.
UACGUAGGGUGCGAGCGUUGUCCGGAAUUAUUGGGCGUAAAGGGCUCGUAGGCGGUUUGUCGCGUCUGCUGUGAAAUUUCGGGGCUCAACCCCGAACUUGCAGUGGGUACGGGCAGACUAGAGUGUGGUAGGGGAGACUGGAAUUCCUGGUGUAGCGGUGAAAUGCGCAGAUAUCAGGAGGAACACCGAUGGCGAAGGCAGGUCUCUGGGCCACUACUGACGCUGAGAAGCGAAAGCAUGGGGAGCGAACAGG